RNAcentral lists this unclassified non-coding RNA (1295 nucleotides) under uncultured Colpodellida. RNAcentral describes it as "sequence contains 18S rRNA gene, ITS1, 5.8S rRNA gene, ITS2, 28S rRNA gene". The stretch from base 365 to 1295 matches the Rfam family "Eukaryotic large subunit ribosomal RNA", at positions 1 to 961 of the family's 3401-position model. The record is from RNAcentral.
GGAUGGAUCAUUCCUGAUUUGAACAUUCAACCUCUGGCUACUCUACAUUCAAAUACUCUUGAAUUCAAUUACAGACAAAUCAAAACUUUUGGCGAUGGAUGACUCGACUCUCGUAACGAGGAAGGACGCAGCAAACUGCGAUAAGCAUUAUGACUUGCGAACACUCGUGAAUCACUCGAUUUCUGAACGCAAUUGUACUCUUGGACUUGUCUUCGAGUAUGUUUGGUUCGGCAUCUUAUAGAUAUGACGUAGUUGAUUGGUGCUUUCAGGCCUUGGCCCGUCUGCAUUAUGGAAUCAUUGACUCUUCGAUUAUACCUAUAGUAUUACUGUGGGAUUCUCGAAGUGUUAAAGUCUAUUUUAUUCGAGAUCCGAGCUCAAACAAGGUUACCCGCUGAAUUUAAGCAUAUAAUUAAGCGGAGGAAAAGAAACCAACAGGGAUUCCCUUAGUAGUGGCGAACGAAACGGGAUCGGCCCAAGAUGUGAAUCCAGUUCCGGCUGGAAUUGUGCAUCAUGUCAACGCCAGCGACAGCUUCUAGAUAAGAUGUCAGGAAAGAUAUGCCAAAGACGGUGAUAGCCCGGUCUGUGCUAGAAGUCUGGAGCGUACGGUGUUGACAAAAUGAGUCACGCUCUUUGGGAGUAGAGCGCAAAAGUGGUGGUAACCUCCAUCAACGGCUAAAUACUGACGAGAGAUCGAUAGCAAACAAGUACCGUGAGGGAAAGUUGAAAAGCACUUCGAAAGGAGAGUUAAAAUACCUGAAAUCGCUAAAAGGGAAGCGACUGUUUGUGAUCCGCUUGCCUGUUAGGCUCGACCUGACAAUCUUACUAAUUGGCAUAGCUUCAUUGAUAUGUCAACUAGGAAAGAUUAAGUCGAAGUCCUUCCGGCAAAGCUUGGCAACACUUCAUCAUCCUCUCCGUCCUGUAAAGCUUGCUUUACUCGAUACCUUAGAAUGAUGGAGUGAAGACUACCAAUCGCAAGUUGCCAAUAAGUGACACAAACAGGCGACCCGUCUUGAAACACGGACCAAGGAGUUAAACAUGUGUGCGAGUGUAAGAGUGUUAAACUCAUACGCGCAGUGAAAGCAACAACGGUAAAUACCAAUACAACCGUGGCCGACUAUUAAGUUCGAGCUUGAGCAUAUUUGUUUAGACCCGAAAGAUGGUGACCUAUACCUGAGUUGGGUGAAGCCAGGGGAAACCCUGGUGGAAGCUCGUAGCGAUACUGACGUGCAAAUCGUUCGUCGAACUUGGGCAUAGGGGCGAAAGACUAAUCGAACCAUCUAGUAGCUGGUUCCCUC